UUGGCCCCAGUAACGGCGAAGUGAAGCGGCAACAGCUCAAAUUUGAAAUCUGGCUCCUAGAGUCCGAGUUGUAAUUUGUAGAGGAUGCUUUUGAUGCGGUGCCUUCCGAGUUCCCUGGAACGGGACGCCAUAGAGGGUGAGAGCCCCGUCUGGUCGGAUGCCAAAUCUCUGUAAAGCUCCUUCGACGAGUCGAGUAGUUUGGGAAUGCUGCUCAAAAUGGGAGGUAUAUGUCUUCUAAAGCUAAAUAUUGGCCAGAGACCGAUAGCGCACAAGUAGAGUGAUCGAAAGAUGAAAAGCACUUUGAAAAGAGGGUUAAACAGUACGUGAAAUUGUUGAAAGGGAAGCGCCUAUGACCAGACUUGGGCCCGGUGAAUCAUCCAGCGUUCUCGCUGGUGCACUUUGCCGGGCACAGGCCAGCAUCAGUUUGUCUUGGGGGAAAAAGGCUUUGGGAACGUGGCUCCCUCGGGAGUGUUAUAGACCAUUGCAUAAUACCCUGGGACGGACUGAGGUUCGCGCAUCUGCAAGGAUGCUGGCGUAAUGGUCAUCAGCGACCCGUCUUGAAACACGGACCAAGGAGUCGUCUUCGUAUGCGAGUGUUCGGGUGUAAAACCCCUACGCGUAAUGAAAGUGAACGCAGGUGAGAGCUUCGGCGCAUCAUCGACCGAUCCUGAUGUUCUCGGAUGGAUUUGAGUAAGAGCAUACGGGGCCGGACCCGAAAGAAGGUGAACUAUUCCUGUAUAGGGUGAAGCCAGAGGAAACUCUGGUGGAGGCUCGCAGCGGUUCUGACGUGCGAAUCGAUCGUCAAAUAUGGGAAUGGGGCGAAAGACUAAUCGA
Molecule: ribosomal RNA, 834 nt
Filed under: Simplicillium sp.
Lineage: Eukaryota; Fungi; Ascomycota; Sordariomycetes; Hypocreales; Cordycipitaceae
Description: partial large subunit ribosomal RNA
Rfam family: Eukaryotic large subunit ribosomal RNA
Source: RNAcentral